This 998-nucleotide long non-coding RNA is filed under the name Fukomys damarensis (Damara mole-rat). Its description in RNAcentral is "lncRNA (ENSFDAG00000032476.1)". The record is from RNAcentral. Lineage: Eukaryota; Metazoa; Chordata; Mammalia; Rodentia; Bathyergidae.
AUGGGAGGGAGAGAAAGGCCCAGCGGGGGAGGCUUUGAGAGUACUUUAAUCCAUCCUUCCUCUCAGCCUUCCUAUUCCCCUGAAAGGACUUAUGCAUUCAAUUAUAACUAUAAACAACAAUCCCAAGCUAUGACCCUAAGACUGCUCAUCACUAUAGGAUCUGUCACCAGAGUGAUUUCUUUUUAUGACAAGGAGCCUAGUCACACCCAGGACAAAAUUCCAUUUGGGAAAGGAAAUAAAACCUGCAGACCAGAAUGUGGGGACCUUGUUGGGGGGCACAGAAGAAGGAGAACAGCCAAUCCCCUUGAGGAAGGACUCAGGACAGCAAGAGAUGCGAUAGGCCCUAGAUCACUGGGGUGGAAGUUGGAGGGCCCAGGAAGGACAGCUCCCCCAGACACAGCCAAGCAGCACACCUGGAGGUGGUCUCGGAUGUAACUGGCAAAGAUACCCUAAAGACCGAGUGAAAGGGCUGGGGAUUUAGCUCAGUGGUUCGGUGGCCUGCCUUGCAAGCGCAAGGACUCGAGUUCAAUCCCCGGUACCAAAAAAAAAGACCGAGUGAAAGGCAGUAGAAACAAGUAUGCCCUCUGGUGUUGACUAUGGAUUUGCCAUAUUCUCAACUAAGAAGAGCAACAUACUUAUCCCUAUGUGUCUCAAUCCUGGCCUGAGGACAGCUGUCUCAGAAUCGCCCAGAGGGGUCUGAGAAAAAUGCAGCUUCAGGGCUCCACCCCAAGCUCUCCAACUAAAUGAAUCCAGGGGCAAUCCAGGAAAGAUGGAGAAGCUUGUGUCAUCCCAAGCUCUAAAAUGUGGCUGUAGGACAUGGUCCCCAAAUAAAGCCAAAGAGCCCUGGAACUGAUUCACAGUGAUGCUCCUUCUGUCUAUACCUGCCCUGCCUGACCACCACACCACACUUUCUCUGGCUUCUCAGCCCAUGACACAUGCAAGUGGGAACUGAGCCUUUCUACUCUCCCCAAAGUCGCACCUGUCCCUUCAGCAGCCCA